This is a long non-coding RNA of Alnus glutinosa, 1038 nucleotides long. RefSeq lists it as uncharacterized. Lineage: Eukaryota; Viridiplantae; Streptophyta; Magnoliopsida; Fagales; Betulaceae. The transcript is spliced from 3 exons. The record is from RefSeq and is a predicted model, not a curated record.
GAAAACGUGAUGUCCAUCCACUUUCCCUCCAUUUCAGAAAAAUUUUGCCCCAAAACUUUCAAAAUCUCCAAACCCAAACACUCCGCCCACCGCCGACCACCCAUCCUAGCAACCUCCAAGCACCGGUGACCACGCCGACCCAACCUCCGACCACCUCGGAUCUGGUUUUUACCCAAAAAUCCUUUUCGCCAUCUCCAUCUUCCCUCUCCCCAGCCCAACGCCGCCGAAAGCCGGCCUCAAACAGCGCGGACCACUGUCGCCCACGACCACGCUGACCACCCCGAGCAGGCCGCCGUUCCCGAAUCUCUACGGUCAGUCUCUUUCGCCGGAUCUCUCUCUCCAUAGCCGGACUACUGUUUGUGGAGAUGAAGCAGUCACCACAACUGUUGAAUGGUGCUCCCACUGCUAAUAUCACAACUGAGCAAAUUCAAAAGUACCUGGACGAGAAUAAAGAGUUGAUUCUGGUAAUAAUGGAAAACCAAAACCUGGGAAAAUUCGCUGAAUGUGCCUCCUGAGAAGGCACACUAUGCUGCUAGAGAUCCUGUCACAGCGUUGAAGAAUUAUAUGUUUGAGAAUAAUUUAACCAGUGAAGCAGAGUUAAAGGCCAUAGAGAAGAAGAUAGAUGAGGUGGUUGAGGAGGCUGUUUAUAGAUGAGGUGGUUGAUGAGAGGCUGUUGACAUACUUAUUGAUGCCGUGGUUUAUAUUUUACCUCUACUCAAACUUAUGAAAAUGUGUCAGCUUUUCUAAUGUAAGCAGGAUUUGCUCUUUAGGUUGCAUUCUGUCCUCAAAUUUUGGUGAAUCUUAGUAGUUGAUUAUUUGUAAUUUGAAAUUUUGAGGUGGUAGUCCCAGCUGUAUGUUUAGGGGUUCUUUCUUUGAGAAUCUGUAAACACAAGGGUGUAUAUUUAGAUCCAAGUGGCUUUUGUUCUUUUGGCAAGUGUUUUGUGGCUCUUGUUCUUGUUAAAAAGUGGUUAUCGAUUGUUGUGGUGAGUUGACAUUUCUUCUUGAUUGCUUAAUUGAAUGGUGAGUUGCUGUUGUUUU